Molecule: ribosomal RNA, 497 nt
Filed under: uncultured bacterium
Lineage: Bacteria
Description: partial 16S ribosomal RNA
Rfam family: Bacterial small subunit ribosomal RNA
Source: RNAcentral
GAUGAACGCUGGCGGCGUGCCUAAUACAUGCAAGUCGAGCGAACGGACGAGAAGCUUGCUUCUCUGAUGUUAGCGGCGGACGGGUAAGUAACACGUGGAUAACCUACCUAUAAGACUGGGAUAACUUCGGGAAACCGGAGCUAAUACCGGAUAAUAUUUUGAACCGCAUGGUUCAAAAGUGAAAGACGGUCUUGCUGUCACUUAUAGAUGGAUCCGCGCUGCAUUAGCUAGUUGGUAAGGUAACGGCUUACCAAGGCAACGAUGCAUAGCCGACCUGAGAGGGUGAUCGGCCACACUGGAACUGAGACACGGUCCAGACUCCUACGGGAGGCAGCAGCAGGGAAUCUUCCGCAAUGGGCGAAAGCCUGACGGAGCAACGCCGCGUGAGUGAUGAAGGUCUUCGGAUCGUAAAACUCUGUUAUUAGGGAAGAACAUAUGUGUAAGUAACUGUGCACAUCUUGACGGUACCUAAUCAGAAAGCCACGGCUAACUACGUG